Molecule: long non-coding RNA, 1405 nt
Filed under: Strigops habroptila (Kakapo)
Lineage: Eukaryota; Metazoa; Chordata; Aves; Psittaciformes; Psittacidae
Description: lncRNA (ENSSHBG00005014283.1)
Source: RNAcentral
UGAUUUAUCUUUAAAUAUUUUAACAGGUUAUGCGGUAUCUUAUGAAAUAUAAAAUGAGAACGUCUUACCAAAAUGAAGCCAUGAAAUUAAGUCACAGCUUUAGAAUAUUAACCGCACUGAGUGCGUCUCCCUUUUUCUCUGUUAGUCAACACUGAUAAAAUUUGCAUCAUCUAAUUUUAGGGUAAAUAUUAAGGAAAAAAAGCCACCCAAGCCCACACCACGGCCUGGCACAGUGUGAGCUGCUAUCAAGCACCAUCAGACAUUUCCAAAGGGCAUUUUAAUUUCAAUUUCUCUAUCAGGUUCUUUGGCUGGCAGUUGUUUGUCAAGUGUGAGGCUUUUUGGAAGGAUCUACAGUCUGAACAGCUCUAUUAAAUAACAAAUAAAACUGAGAUAGGAACAUUUAUGUACAUCUAUUUUUUAAGUAUUACAUUUCUUCAGUGUGAAAUUACGUGUUCCGGGUCCGAUGUCACUGCCUGAGCCUCCCGUACGUGAAGUACCACAUAACCACUGUUGCUGCAUGUUGCUGUUAGCACCAGGUGUACGCCUAUUGUCAGUCCAGCUAAGCCACAGAAGAGCUUAUUGCAAUUAAAUAGCAAUUUGUUUCUAUGAAACUGCAAUUAAAGUAUUACUGAUCAGCCAUUUUAGAUUGGCAGUGCUUUGACUGCAUGUUAAACAGUGAGGAGCUCUCGAUUUAUUUCUGCAGCCUGAGCUGCGAGUAACAGCGAAGUGUAACACGCUCACCUAUGUCCCUUGUCAAGUUGAAAGUAUGAGUCCUCUGUGAAGCACUCUGAUCUCAUCACGAACAUGCUGAGAGCAAUGACAAGUCAGGGCUGAUCUCUGUAAGUUGAACUUGCAACUUACAGGACCUGAAGUUAUUACUGUUUUCUGUUCCUGUAUAAGCAGGGAUGUGUACGCUUCCUACAGGGGAUGUUUUCAACUCCAGAUUGAUUCUGUUGAGAAUGGACUGCAAGUUGUGGGCCGCAAGCCAAUAAUGUACUGCAGGUCCUGACUUGUUAGAGCUGUGUAAACAGGGCUACUAUAGCUCCUUAAUCACAACUAAUAAAAGACUAGAAGAAACCAAUCAAUUACCUUAUAAGUUGUUUGGGGUUUUGUUUUGGAUUUCUUUUUUAAUAAAAAGCAGAAGUUUAUCUGCCGCAGCUUUUAUUGUCACACUUGUACAACAGAUGAGACAGUCUAAAGCAGUGUCAUCGCUUACCUGUGCGCACCCCGCGUUGCUGGCGGCUGUUCGCCUGCGACAUUCCCGGGAAGCUCCUGCCCUCGAGCCUGGCAGAACCCGCCAGCCACUGCCUCGAGUCCCCGCCGAGCUCACAGCGUUCGUGGUUGGCUUGAAAUCUGAAAUGUAAAUUUUUAGUGCAAAUUAAAAACUUGUUUGUAAGAACUCAAA